AGAGUUUGAUCCUGGCUCAGGAUGAACGCUGGCGGCGUGCCUAACACAUGCAAGUCGAACGAAGCACAUUGGAUUGAUUCUUCGGAAGAAAGAGAAUGUGACUGAGUGGCGGACGGGUGAGUAACGCGUGGGUAACCUGCCUCAUACAGGGGGAUAACAGUUAGAAAUGACUGCUAAUACCGCAUAAGACCACGGAGUCGCAUGACUCAGUGGGAAAAACUCCGGUGGUAUGAGAUGGACCCGCGUCUGCUUAGGUAGUUGGUGGGGUAACGGCCUACCAAGCCGACGAUCAGUAGCCGACCUGAGAGGGUGACCGGCCACAUUGGGACUGAGACACGGCCCAAACUCCUACGGGAGGCAGCAGUGGGGAAUAUUGCACAAUGGGGGAAACCCUGAUGCAGCGACGCCGCGUGAGCGAAGAAGUAUUUCGGUAUGUAAAGCUCUAUCAGCAAGGAAGAAAAUGACGGUACCUGACUAAGAAGCACCGGCUAAAUACGUGCCAGCAGCCGCGGUAAUACGUAUGGUGCAAGCGUUAUCCGGAUUUACUGGGUGUAAAGGGAGCGUAGACGGCUGUGUAAGUCUGAAGUGAAAGCCCGGGGCUCAACCCCGGGACUGCUUUGGAAACUAUGCAGCUAGAGUGUCGGAGAGGUAAGUGGAAUUCCCAGUGUAGCGGUGAAAUGCGUAGAUAUUGGGAGGAACACCAGUGGCGAAGGCGGCUUACUGGACGAUGACUGACGUUGAGGCUCGAAAGCGUGGGGAGCAAACAGGAUUAGAUACCCUGGUAGUCCACGCCGUAAACGAUGACUACUAGGUGUCGGGUGUCACAGACAUUCGGUGCCGCAGCACACGCCAUAAGUAGUCCA
RNAcentral lists this ribosomal RNA (863 nucleotides) under uncultured bacterium. RNAcentral's name for it is "bacterial SSU rRNA". It matches the Rfam family "Bacterial small subunit ribosomal RNA", at positions 8 to 871 of the family's 1533-position model. The record is from RNAcentral.